This 475-nucleotide ribosomal RNA is filed under the name Streptococcus anginosus. RNAcentral describes it as "bacterial SSU rRNA". It matches the Rfam family "Bacterial small subunit ribosomal RNA", at positions 28 to 477 of the family's 1533-position model. Lineage: Bacteria; Bacillati; Bacillota; Bacilli; Lactobacillales; Streptococcaceae. The record is from RNAcentral.
GACGAACGCUGGCGGCGUGCCUAAUACAUGCAAGUAGAACGCACAGUUUAUACCGUAGCUUGCUACACCAUAGACUGUGAGUUGCGAACGGGUGAGUAACGCGUAGGUAACCUGCCUAUUAGAGGGGGAUAACUAUUGGAAACGAUAGCUAAUACCGCAUAAUAGUAUGUAACACAUGUUAGAUGCUUGAAGGAUGCAAUUGCAUCGCUAGUAGAUGGACCUGCGUUGUAUUAGCUAGUAGGUAGGGUAAAGGCCUACCUAGGCAACGAUACAUAGCCGACCUGAGAGGGUGAUCGGCCACACUGGGACUGAGACACGGCCCAGACUCCUACGGGAGGCAGCAGUAGGGAAUCUUCGGCAAUGGGGGGAACCCUGACCGAGCAACGCCGCGUGAGUGAAGAAGGUUUUCGGAUCGUAAAGCUCUGUUGUUAAGGAAGAACGAGUGUGAGAAUGGAAAGUUCAUACUGUGACGGUA